AACGAACGCUGGCGGCAUGCCUAACACAUGCAAGUCGAACGAGACCUUCGGGUCUGGUGGCGCACGGGUGCGUAACGCGUGGGAACCUGCCCUUAGGUUCGGAAUAACUCCCCUUAAGGGGUGCUAAUACCGGAUAAUGUCUUCGGACCAAAGAUUUGUCGCCUUUGUAUGGGCCCGCGUUGGUUUAGCUAGUUGGUAGGGUAAAAGCCUACCAAGGCGACGAUACAUAGCUGGUCUGAGAGGAUGAUCCGCCACACUGGGACUGAGACACGGCGCAGACUCCUACGGGAGGGAGCAGUGGGGAAUAUUGGACAAUGGGCGAAAGCCUGAUCCAGCAAUGCCGCGUGAGUGAUGAAGGCCUUAGGGUAGUACAGCUCUUUUACCCGGCAUGAUAAUGACAGUACCGGGAGAAUAAGCUCCGGCUAACUCCGUG
RNAcentral lists this ribosomal RNA (433 nucleotides) under uncultured bacterium. RNAcentral describes it as "partial 16S ribosomal RNA". It matches the Rfam family "Bacterial small subunit ribosomal RNA", at positions 29 to 507 of the family's 1533-position model. The record is from RNAcentral.